RNAcentral lists this long non-coding RNA (457 nucleotides) under Nicotiana tabacum (common tobacco). RNAcentral's name for it is "long non-coding RNA (NTAB_LNC011484)". The record is from RNAcentral. Lineage: Eukaryota; Viridiplantae; Streptophyta; Magnoliopsida; Solanales; Solanaceae.
UUUUUCCUUUCAGCCAGCAUUAGGGUUUUAAACUCUAAACUGAGCUUUUCCAUGCAAUCAGCAUUAGGGUUUUAAACCCUAAACUGAAUUUUUCCUUUAGUCAGCAUUAGGGUUUUAAACCCUAAACUGAACUUUUUUCCAUGUAAUCAGCAUUAGGAUUUUAAACCCUAAACUGAAUUUUUCCUUUAGUCAGCAUUAGGGUUUUAAACCCUAAACUGAACUUUUUUCCUUUCAGCCAGCAUUAGGGUUUUAAACCCUAAACUGAGCUCUUCCACGCAAUCAGCAUUAGGGUUUUAAACCCUAAACUGAACUUUUUUCUUUCCAUCCAGCAUUAGGGUUUUAAACCCUAAACUGAGCUUUUCCAUGCAAUCAGCAUUAGGGUUUUAAACCCUAAACUGAAUUUUUCCUUCAGCCAGUAUUAGGGUUUUAAACCCUAAACUGAGAUUUUUCAUGUAAU